AACGAACGCUGGCGGCAGGCCUAACACAUGCAAGUCGAACGCCCGUAGCAAUACGGGAGUGGCAGACGGGUGAGUGACGCGUGGGAACGUGCCCUUCGGUUCGGAAUAACUCAGGGAAACUUGAGCUAAUACCGGAUACGUCCGUAAGGAGAAAGAUUUAUCGCCGAAGGAUCGGCCCGCGUCGGAUUAGCUAGUUGGUGAGGUAACGGCCCACCAAGGCGACGAUCCGUAGCUGGUCUGAGAGGAUGAUCAGCCACACUGGGACUGAGACACGGCCCAGACUCUACGGGAGGCAGCAGUGGGGAAUAUUGGACAAUGGGCGGAAAGCCUGAUCCAGCCAUGCCGCGUGAGUGAAGAAGGCC
This 362-nucleotide ribosomal RNA is filed under the name uncultured bacterium. RNAcentral's name for it is "bacterial SSU rRNA". It matches the Rfam family "Bacterial small subunit ribosomal RNA", at positions 29 to 416 of the family's 1533-position model. The record is from RNAcentral.